This 433-nucleotide ribosomal RNA is filed under the name uncultured bacterium. RNAcentral describes it as "partial 16S ribosomal RNA". It matches the Rfam family "Bacterial small subunit ribosomal RNA", at positions 29 to 507 of the family's 1533-position model. The record is from RNAcentral.
AACGAACGCUGGCGGCAUGCCUAACACAUGCAAGUCGAACGAAGCCUUCGGGCUUAGUGGCGCACGGGUGCGUAACGCGUGGGAAUCUGCCCCUUGCUUCGGAAUAACAGUUAGAAAUGACUGCUAAUACCGGAUGAAGUCUUCGGACCAAAGAUUUAUCGGCAAGGGAUGAGCCCGCGUAGGAUUAGGUAGUUGGUGGGGUAAAGGCCUACCAAGCCGACGAUCCUUAGCUGGUCUGAGAGGAUGAUCAGCCACACUGGGACUGAGACACGGCCCAGACUCCUACGGGAGGCAGCAGUGGGGAAUAUUGGACAAUGGACGCAAGUCUGAUCCAGCAAUGCCGCGUGAGUGAUGAAGGCAUUAGGGUUGUAAAGCUCUUUUACCAGGGAUGAUAAUGACAGUACCUGGAGAAUAAGCUCCGGCUAACUCCGUG